This 455-nucleotide ribosomal RNA is filed under the name uncultured bacterium. RNAcentral's name for it is "bacterial SSU rRNA". It matches the Rfam family "Bacterial small subunit ribosomal RNA", at positions 340 to 786 of the family's 1533-position model. The record is from RNAcentral.
UACGGGAGGCAGCAGUGGGGAAUAUUGCACAAUGGGCGCAAGCCUGAUGCAGCCAUGCCGCGUGUAUGAAGAAGGCCUUCGGGUUGUAAAGUACUUUCAGUCGUGAGGAAGGUGUUAAGGUUAAUAACCUUAGCAAUUGACGUUAGCGACAGAAGAAGCACCGGCUAACUCCGUGCCAGCAGCCGCGGUAAUACGGAGGGUGCGAGCGUUAAUCGGAAUUACUGGGCGUAAAGGGCACGCAGGCGGUUAAUUAAGUUGGAUGUGAAAUCCCCGGGCUUAACCUGGGAAUGGCAUUCAAGACUGGUUAGCUAGAGUCUUGUAGAGGGGGUAGAAUUCCAUGUGUAGCGGUGAAAUGCGUAGAGAUGUGGAGGAAUACCGGUGGCGAAGGCGGCCCCUGGGACAAAGACUGACGCUCAUGUGCGAAAGCGUGGGGAGCGAAACAGGGAUUAGAUACC